UUUGAUUUUUUUUUUUUUUUUUUUUCUCUCUGGCAAGGCGCGGUUUGCGCAUCUGCCAAUGUCAACGUUUUUGGUUAGACAGUUUAUAAAGUAAGUUGCACUUUGUAAAAUAAAGUUAGGGAAACAACAGGAAAUAAAAUGAAGACCGGGGAAUUACGGGAUAGGAUCAGAGGAAUAUAUUUAAAAUAAAUAAGAAAUAGGAAAAACUGAAAAGGAACACCAAGUGAGGACAGGCUGGAAUAAAGGGAAGAAUGAUCAUGGUUAGGACAAGAAAAUAUAAGGUGAUUUAGAUCCCCAACAUCACACCCACAACUACAUGCCGAAGAUUCCACAAUUCCAAGCCUCGCAAGACGAGCUGGGGUACAUACGUGCCCCAGACGCAUCCGUAUUAAAACAGACGUAGCCGUCCUGCCAAGCUUCAAACCGCAGAACCACGGCCGCAGUGGUAUCGUAGGCUGGAUUAGGUAAUAAAAUUUGCCCUUUGACAUACCGCUAGAUGUCCAAAGUUCACUCCAGGAUUCCCGAAGAUGAACUCUAGGCAAAGCGGCCAAGUCAUGGCUAUAAUUUUUAUACGGAAAUAAAUCUCCACAGUCCACCGCUUGAUUGGCCAGUU
This is a long non-coding RNA of Manduca sexta (tobacco hornworm), 613 nucleotides long. RefSeq lists it as uncharacterized. The transcript has 2 exons. The record is from RefSeq and is a predicted model, not a curated record. NCBI's taxonomy places the organism in Eukaryota, Metazoa, Arthropoda, Insecta, Lepidoptera, Sphingidae.